This 551-nucleotide long non-coding RNA is filed under the name Salmo trutta (river trout). RNAcentral's name for it is "lncRNA (ENSSTUG00000010433.1)". Lineage: Eukaryota; Metazoa; Chordata; Actinopteri; Salmoniformes; Salmonidae. The record is from RNAcentral.
CAGGGACCUUGUAUAGUGAUAAGAAUUCCUUUUAACUGAGUAAAAGACCCUCUGCAUUUACCAGUUGGCUCACCAAUAGGAUAUUAUUUCGGAACCAAUAUUCUAAAAACAAAGAAGUAUUUUUAUACAAUAUAUCCCGAUUAGUCAAUUUGCGUAACGUUAUUGUGUAUUAUAUGUAAUGACGCAGUUUUACGUUAUUACUUAAUUACGUCACCACGCAAUGACGUCACAGCGUAAUUUAGCAACUUUUAGCAACAACUCGACCUGCCUCUAGCAAAUUCUCCUGAAAAUUUGUUGGCAACAAUGGACGUGCCCUUGCCGUAAAGCAAAACGUAUUGACGACGUAAAAGAAAAUGCAACACGGCGACCUCCGUAAUGGCAUGGGGUGUCAGGACAGUUCAUCCCAUGUGUCCCGGUGGGUCUACGAUGGGAGUGGAGGAGACAAGAUGGACAUGACUGUCACAGCCAGUACAACCGUCUUCUGAAUGUUGUUGACAUUAGAGGUCAGAGGAAUGACCAUUGACGAGGCCUUUGCACAGCUUAAGUUCGAC